CAUAAUACCGUGUCCGCCGGCGCCGUUAAGGCAUUUAAGGGAACACAGCACUCUGUGGCCGCCCCCGCGACUGUGAGCAGCGAGACCGCAUCCACCCGAGCCACUGGUAUUACCGGGAAGGCCGAUGCGGUCCACGACCUGCGAGCCAGGAGACCUGCCGGCCGAAUGUUCGCGCG
Molecule: non-coding RNA, 176 nt
Filed under: Necator americanus (New World hookworm)
Lineage: Eukaryota; Metazoa; Nematoda; Chromadorea; Rhabditida; Ancylostomatidae
Source: RNAcentral